AUUGAACGCUGGCGGCAUGCCUUACACAUGCAAGUCGAACGGUAACAGGUUAAGCUGACGAGUGGCGAACGGGUGAGUAAUGUAUCGGAACGUGCCCAGUCGUGGGGGAUAACUGCCCGAAAGAGCAGCUAAUACCGCAUACGACCUGAGGGUGAAAGCGGGGGAUCGCAAGACCUCGCGCGAUUGGAGCGGCCGAUAUCAGAUUAGGUAGUUGGUGAGGUAAAGGCUCACCAAGCCGACGAUCUGUAGCUGGUCUGAGAGGACGACCAGCCACACUGGGACUGAGACACGGCCCAGACUCCUACGGGAGGCAGCAGUGGGGAAUUUUGGACAAUGGGCGCAAGCCUGAUCCAGCCAUGCCGCGUGCGGGAAGAAGGCCUUCGGGUUGUAAACCGCUUUUGUCAGGGAAGAAAAGGUUCUGGCUAAUACCUGGGACUCAUGACGGUACCUGAAGAAUAAGCACCGGCUAACUACGUG
This 477-nucleotide ribosomal RNA is filed under the name uncultured bacterium. RNAcentral describes it as "partial 16S ribosomal RNA". It matches the Rfam family "Bacterial small subunit ribosomal RNA", at positions 30 to 507 of the family's 1533-position model. The record is from RNAcentral.